Molecule: ribosomal RNA, 1437 nt
Filed under: uncultured organism
Description: 16S ribosomal RNA
Rfam family: Bacterial small subunit ribosomal RNA
Source: RNAcentral
GGCGUGCUUAACACAUGCAAGUCGAACGGAAAGGCCCUGCUUUUGUGGGGUGCUCGAGUGGCGAGCGGGUGAGUAACACGUGAGUAACCUGCCCUUGACUUUGGGAUAACUUCAGGAAACUGGGGCUAAUACCGGAUAGGAGCUCCUGCUGCAUGGUGGGGGUUGGAAAGUUUCGGCGGUUGGGGAUGGACUCGCGGCUUAUCAGCUUGUUGGUGGGGUAGUGGCUUACCAAGGCUUUGACGGGUAGCCGGCCUGAGAGGGUGACCGGCCACAUUGGGACUGAGAUACGGCCCAGACUCCUACGGGAGGCAGCAGUGGGAAUAUUGCACAAUGGGCGGAAGCCUGAUGCAGCAACGCCGCGUGCGGGAUGACGGCCUUCGGGUUGUAAACCGCUUUCGCCUGUGACGAAGCGUGAGUGACGGUAAUGGGUAAAGAAGCACCGGCUAACUACGUGCCAGCAGCCGCGGUGAUACGUAGGGUGCGAGCGUUGUCCGGAUUUAUUGGGCGUAAAGGGCUCGUAGGUGGUUGAUCGCGUCGGAAGUGUAAUCUUGGGGCUUAACCCUGAGCGUGCUUUCGAUACGGGUUGACUUGAGGAAGGUAGGGGAGAAUGGAAUUCCUGGUGGAGCGGUGGAAUGCGCAGAUAUCAGGAGGAACACCAGUGGCGAAGGCGGUUCUCUGGGCCUUUCCUGACGCUGAGGAGCGAAAGCGUGGGGAGCGAACAGGCUUAGAUACCCUGGUAGUCCACGCUGUAAACGGUGGGUACUAGGUGUGGGGUCCAUUCCACGGGUUCCGUGCCGUAGCUAACGCUUUAAGUACCCCGCCUGGGGAGUACGGCCGCAAGGCUAAAACUCAAAGGAAUUGACGGGGCCCCGCACAAGCGGCGGAGCAUGCGGAUUAAUUCGAUGCAACGCGUAGAACCUUACCUGGGUUUGACAUGGAUCGGGAGUGCUCAGAGAUGGGUGUGCCUCUUUUGGGGUCGGUUCACAGGUGGUGCAUGGCUGUCGUCAGCUCGUGUCGUGAGAUGUUGGGUUAAGUCCCGCAACGAGCGCAACCCUUGUUCACUGUUGCCAGCACGUUAUGGUGGGGACUCAGUGGAGACCGCCGGGGUCAACUCGGAGGAAGGUGGGGAUGACGUCAAGUCAUCAUGCCCCUUAUGUCCAGGGCUUCACGCAUGCUACAAUGGCUGGUACAGAGAGUGGCGAGCCUGUGAGGGUGAGCGAAUCUCGGAAAGCCGGUCUCAGUUCGGAUUGGGGUCUGCAACUCGACCUCAUGAAGUCGGAGUCGCUAGUAAUCGCAGAUCAGCAACGCUGCGGUGAAUACGUUCCCGGGGCUUGUACACACCGCCCGUCAAGUCAUGAAAGUUGGUAACACCCGAAGCCGGUGGCCUAACCGUUGUGGGGGAGCCGUCGAAGGUGGGACUGGUGAUUAGGACUAAGU